GACGAACCGUGCGAACGUUGUUCGGAAUUACUGGGCGUAAAGCGCGCGUAGGCGGCUUUGUAAGUCAGAGGUGAAAUCCCGGAGCUCAACUCCGGAACUGCCUUUGAGACUGCAUCGCUUGAAUCCGGGAGAGGUGAGUGGAAUUCCGAGUGUAGAGGUGAAAUUCGUAGAUAUUCGGAAGAACACCAGUGGCGAAGGCGGCUCACUGGACCGGUAUUGACGCUGAUGUGCGAAAGCGUGGGGAGCAAACAGG
RNAcentral lists this ribosomal RNA (253 nucleotides) under uncultured bacterium. RNAcentral's name for it is "partial 16S ribosomal RNA". It matches the Rfam family "Bacterial small subunit ribosomal RNA", at positions 524 to 776 of the family's 1533-position model. The record is from RNAcentral.